UUAGGAAUCUUCCCCAAUGGACGAAAGUCUGAGGGAGCGACGCCGCGUGAGGGAUGAAGGUUCUCGGAUCGUAAACCUCUGAAUCAGGGACGAAAGGCCACGGCAAGUGGAGAUGACGGUACCUGAGUAAUAGCACCGGCUAACUCCGUGCCAGCAGCCGCGGUAAUACGGAGGGUGCAAGCGUUACCCGGAAUCACUGGGCGUAAAGGGCGUGUAGGCGGCCUACCAAGUCUGGUUUUAAAGCCUGCGGCUCAACCGCAGAGAUGGACUGGAGACUGGUAGGCUAGACCUCUGGAGAGAGAACUGGAAUUCCUGGUGUAGCGGUGGAAUGCGUAGAUACCAGGAGGAACACCGAUGGCGAAGGCAGGUUCUUGGACAGAAGGUGACGCUGAGGCGCGAAAGUGUGGGGAGCAAACCG
Molecule: ribosomal RNA, 418 nt
Filed under: uncultured bacterium
Lineage: Bacteria
Description: bacterial SSU rRNA
Rfam family: Bacterial small subunit ribosomal RNA
Source: RNAcentral